CGUGUCGUGAGAUGUUGGGUUAAGUCCGUAACGAGCGCAACCUGUCCUUAGUUACCAGCACGUUAUGGUGGGCACUCUAAGGAGACUGCCGGUGACAAACCGGAGGAAGGUGGGGAUGACGUCAAGUCAUCAUGGCCCUUACGGCCUGGGCUACACACGUGCUACAAUGGUCGGUACAAAGGGUUGCCAAGCCGCGAGGUGGAGCUAAUCCCAUAAAACCGAUCGUAGUCCGGAUCGCAGUCUGCAACUCGACUGCGUGAAGUCGGAAUCGCUAGUAAUCGUGAAUCAGAAUGUCACGGUGAAUACGUUCCCGGGCCUU
RNAcentral lists this ribosomal RNA (319 nucleotides) under uncultured Pseudomonas sp. Its description in RNAcentral is "bacterial SSU rRNA". It matches the Rfam family "Bacterial small subunit ribosomal RNA", at positions 1061 to 1382 of the family's 1533-position model. The record is from RNAcentral. Lineage: Bacteria; Pseudomonadati; Pseudomonadota; Gammaproteobacteria; Pseudomonadales; Pseudomonadaceae.